AUUCACAGUAAAACUGCUAUUAAUUGCAUUUGCACUAUUGGUUACACACUUACUCAAUCCUUGCAUAAAUGUUCGAAAAAGAGUAUUUGUGAAUAUAUUGCUUCCCGUGGGACUAAAAUUAGACACAGACUGUCUGAAAGGAUGAAGCAGGGUAUUAUUUAUUAAUUAGUGCAAAAAAUAUCUUCCCAGCUGAAUAUUUCAGAAUGGCUUAACUAUGAAGGUGAUCUAUUAUACAUCUCUCUGAACAAAAGAGCAUAAUUGUAGGCAUGUAACAGGAUGAUUUUCUCCAUAAUCCAGACAGAUCUACAGUCAAGGAUAAUUAUUCCCAUACAGUCUAAAAUGUGAUUUAUAUUUAAAUGGUGAUUUAUAUUAACAUUAACUAUAUUUUGUUUUAUUUAAAUACAGUUCUGCAUUUAAAUUGCUGUAAGAUAUUAUUCCUUGAAUAAUAAGUUAUAAAAACUGCAUGUGUAAUUAUACAGAAAUAAAAAAGUUAAGUAUAAUAUGUAAUACUCCAGGACACUAAUUAGAAUUAGAUUAUGAUCAUUUCAAAUAACACUACAACAGCUACCCUAAUGUCUCAAAAUACUAGUGUCACACGGACAGAAUUGUAGCGCGCACAAGCGGAAGGACGAAUUAUAAACAUUGUUGCUCGCACGUGUAACGACGCGGACCAAUCAAAUUCACCAGAACGGAAUCAACAACAAAGCGCCUGGGAAAACUGUCCUGAACUCACGCGGAGCGCUCGUUCAUGACAGCGGCGUUAAUAAUAAUGAUUCAUCCGGGCUACUGACACAUUACUCCAGUAUAUCAGGGAGUUUGCUGGGUCUGCGGCCUGCAGAAGCGGGUGGGUUUACCCGACGGGUGUUCAAUGCUGGAAAAUUAGACCUUACUGAAAUAAAGGGUCUAGGUUAAUGGAUCCAUGCAGAGACAGAAGCACAGAGGCGACAGGCUCUCCAUCAAAUGGCAGGAGACCUGGGCUGCAUUUACCAAGACUGGAGUGUUCAGCUUAAAUGAAUGAGUAAAGGGUUGAUCAGGAAUAUCUCUUGUUUUUAGUACAUCUUUAUGGCCAGGUCUAAGAGCAGUCGUGGGCUAGUGGUUAGAG
Molecule: long non-coding RNA, 1102 nt
Organism: Cyprinus carpio (common carp)
Lineage: Eukaryota; Metazoa; Chordata; Actinopteri; Cypriniformes; Cyprinidae
Source: Ensembl